CCUGCGACAGGACGGAAAGACCCCAUGGAGCUUUACUGUAGCUUGACAUUGGGUUUUGGUACUACAUGUACAGGAUAGGUGGGAGGCUUUGAAACCAGGACGCCAGUUUUGGCGGAGCCAUCCUUGGGAUACCACCCUUGUAGUACUGGGACUCUAACCAUAGGCCAUGAAUCUGGUCUUGGGACACUGUCAGGCGGGCAGUUUGACUGGGGCGGUCGCCUCCCAAAAGGUAACGGAGGCGCUCAAAGGUUCUCUCAGUACGGUCGGAAAUCGUACGUAGAG
Molecule: ribosomal RNA, 282 nt
Filed under: Clostridioides difficile
Lineage: Bacteria; Bacillati; Bacillota; Clostridia; Peptostreptococcales; Peptostreptococcaceae
Description: partial 23S ribosomal RNA
Rfam family: Bacterial large subunit ribosomal RNA
Source: RNAcentral